UACGUAGGGGGCAAGCGUUGUCCGGAUUUAUUGGGCGUAAAGAGCGUGUAGGCGGCCUGGUAGGUCAGCUGUGAAAACUCGAGGCUCAACCUCGAGACGCCGGUUGAAACCAUCAGGCUAGAGUCCGGAAGAGGAGAGUGGAAUUCCUGGUGUAGCGGUGAAAUGCGCAGAUAUCAGGAAGAACACCCGUGGCGAAGGCGGCUCUCUGGGCCGAUACUGACGCUGAGGAGCGAAAGCGUGGGGAGCGAACAGG
RNAcentral lists this ribosomal RNA (253 nucleotides) under uncultured bacterium. RNAcentral describes it as "partial 16S ribosomal RNA". It matches the Rfam family "Bacterial small subunit ribosomal RNA", at positions 524 to 776 of the family's 1533-position model. The record is from RNAcentral.